Long non-coding RNA from Herpailurus yagouaroundi (jaguarundi), 1603 nucleotides. RefSeq lists it as uncharacterized. Lineage: Eukaryota; Metazoa; Chordata; Mammalia; Carnivora; Felidae. The record is from RefSeq and is a predicted model, not a curated record. The transcript is spliced from 2 exons.
AGCCCCCCACACAGGGCUCGAACUCAUGAACCGUGGGAUCAUGACCUGAGCCAAAGUCGGAUAUUUAACCAACUGAGCCACCCAGGCGCUCCGAUGACUAAUAUUUUCAAUGCCCAUCAGGCUAGUAAAGUGAAUUUGGCUUUACCCUGCAAUGGUGUAGGACAAACCCAAGUAUUUUCUAAUACUGCUUGUUUUCCCCUUGUAGGGGAUUUUUUUCUGCAUAUGGGAGAUCAAGCCAGAGUUACUAAUAACAGCCACAUCCAUGGUUUGUAUUAAAAACAACUAUUUACCACUGUGGGCUAUAGCUCGACCUACCAUGGGCUCAUCUGGGAAGAUGUACUAGUUAUCUAUAUAAUAAUUAUGCCCUCUUUCAAAAAUGAUCAGAAAAUUAGUUAAAAAGUACUUCAAAUUAGGUCUAAAACUUAAAAGUAGAAAGAUAAUAAAAAUGAUACCUGACAUUGUCCAUUUACAGUGUGCCAAGCAGAGACUAUUAUAAGCUCUUGCCAUGUUUUAACUCAUGAUCUUCAGAGGGAGGGUAUUAUUUUCAGAUGAAAGAUGAAGAAGUGGCAACAGAGAAGUUGAGUAACUUGUCCAAGGUCACAUUGCUAGUAAUAAUGGCAGAGCUGGAUCCAGACCCAGACCAAGCUGAUUCCAGAGACUGUGUUCCUGACCACUGCACUGCAAAAGGACAUUUGGUUUCUUUGAGACUUCUGUUUCUUUAUUUGUGUUCGCAAAUGGACUCUUGUUUGUUUUUAAUAGAAAAAAAAUUAUAUGUAUUUAGAAAUUUUUAAAGUUUAUGAAGGUAAUUGUAAGUAUUUUUCCAACUAAUGUAUAUAAUCCUAGUGGAAAUUAUGUAAAAACAGAGAAGGUCUUAAUUCUAACUAUAAAUUUCCUUUGUUGUUCUUCCACUAACAUUACCAUAUACAUCAUGGGAGAAGAGCUGUAAGCUAUCUCCUUGGCCUCUCAUUACAAACAAAAGGAUCAUUUAUGCCAGUUUAGCAUGUAACAUGUGUUUGUUGACUGAAAAUGCAAGUAUCCAGCUCAUUUUACUUACAACUUUAUUUUGAAGGGGUUUGCAGCCCUCUUCCUGUUUUAUUGAAGCUUUUUAGAGUUACUAAUUGUGAUUUCUGAGAUAGAAGGACUAAAGAGUUUUAAUUUGGGAAGUUAAUUUUUAAGGCAACCAAAGCAAUUAUUCUGUGUUUUAGAGCUAUGCAAAGGCCAUUGGAAACUAGUCUCAGAAAUGUAUGCUAUUUUAUAUGUGAUGGUCUCAGCAUUUUUCCUUGGAGGUAGAUUGUAAAGUUAAAUUUUGGGGCCAAAAUUUAUUACCCUAAAGUGUGCUGAUUUGAAUUUGAGAGGUCAAGUCAGGGAGGAGAAAAACUUCAAUUCCCUGAGCAGAGAGUAUAAACUUAUUCAAAUAAACAGAGGAUGUUGUCUUCCAGGAUUGUCAAACUGUCACCUUUGACCAGGGUUGAAUUUUCUUUGAAUGUUGACAGAAGUUACAAUGUCAGUGGAAAAAGCUUAAUGUGAAGUAUCUAUAACUCAGAAUUUCCUUAUGUUUGUGUCAGUGAGAUCCUACAAUUAAAGCAGUUUUUUUUUUUCUCUA